This 378-nucleotide unclassified non-coding RNA is filed under the name plant metagenome. Its description in RNAcentral is "partial contains 5.8S ribosomal RNA, internal transcribed spacer 2, and large subunit ribosomal RNA". The stretch from base 1 to 105 matches the Rfam family "5.8S ribosomal RNA", at positions 50 to 154 of the family's 154-position model. The record is from RNAcentral.
GAAAUGCGAUAAGUAAUGUGAAUUGCAGAAUUCAGUGAAUCAUCGAAUCUUUGAACGCACCUUGCGCUCCUUGGUAUUCCUUGGAGCAUGCCUGUUUGAGUAUCAUGAAAUCUUCAAAGUAAAUCUUUUGUUAACUCAAUUGGUUUCUACUUUGGUAUUGGAGGUCUUUGCAGCUUCACACCUGCUCCUCUUUGUUCAUUAGCUGGAUCUCAGUGUUAUGCUUGGUUCCACUCGGCGUGAUAAGUUAUCUAUCGCUGAGGAUACUGUAAAAGGUGGCCAAGGUAAAUGCAGAUGAACCGCUUCUAAUAGUCCAUUGACUUGGACAAUACUUUUAUGAUCUGAUCUCCAAUCAGGUAGGACUACCCGCUGAACUUAAGC